Long non-coding RNA from Talpa occidentalis (Iberian mole), 525 nucleotides. RefSeq lists it as uncharacterized. The transcript has 5 exons. The record is from RefSeq and is a predicted model, not a curated record. NCBI's taxonomy places the organism in Eukaryota, Metazoa, Chordata, Mammalia, Eulipotyphla, Talpidae.
GCAGCUGUGAUGUGGAGGAAGAAGCGCUCAGGGGGACACGCAAUCAACUAGUCAGGCUGCAGUCCAAGGUCAAGAAGGAAGUGCAAGUUCUUCACGUGUCUCUCUGCUCCGUGUGCCUCCUCCAGGGCUCCUUCUGGCUCCAUCCUGCUUCCUUCCUUCUCCAGUCUCUUCUCCAGCUGCUUCUUCUCCCUGCUCAGCUCAACCCUGCUUAGGAGUCUCCCCAUCUUCCUAGUAAGUGCCCUGGGGGCUCUCCUAGGCCCCGCCCUUCAUCCAAGGAUGGAGAAUGUAAGGGCCUCCUUGGUGGCGCAAGGGGUUAAGAUGCAGCCUAUGAAGCUAUCUGCAGCCACUACAGCACAAGUUCGAUCCCCAGCCAGGAAGCUACCAACAUGGCGCAGCAGACCUCUCCUGACCUCCCAGCUGCUCCCCUCAGCAGUGUGUUUCAGUCAGUUUGCCUGUUCUGCUCCCCACUCUGUCUCUGGUGAAUCCUGUCACCCCAACACCUCUGGUCUGUACCCCAGUUCUUGU